This 222-nucleotide long non-coding RNA is filed under the name Gossypium barbadense (sea-island cotton). Its description in RNAcentral is "long non-coding RNA (GBAR_LNC021640)". The record is from RNAcentral. Lineage: Eukaryota; Viridiplantae; Streptophyta; Magnoliopsida; Malvales; Malvaceae.
UAAAUUCUCAGGGGAAGAUUACAGCUGCUGCAUGCAACUACCUUCAACCCCAUAGCCUCCCUUAUUCCGGUCCGAAAUUUCAGCUAAUACGUGGCAAAAUUUCAACUUUGUUUUCCACUAUAGCAAUAUAGCCUCUUAAUCUUUGAAAAUAAUCUGGGAGCAGAGGGUGCCAAUUGAAGUUCAUUGCUUGAUUUUUCUAGCAACUAAACCCGCAUAUCCAGC